UCAAAUUUCCGCCAUGGCGGCGCCAUGGCGGAUGGCGGUGGCGGUUUUGAGCUAGGACGCCAUAAAAAUGUUAUGGCAUGGCAGUUUUGCCAUGGCGGGUUAUGGCGGCCGCCAUAUCCAUGGCGCCAUGGCGGCCAUGGCGGGAUAUGGCGGAAAUUUGGCCCAUACCCGCUUUACGGGCGGGUCGACCCGUUGACCCGACCCUUUGACCCUUUGACUUAGUUAUAUUAGGUUUAAAAAUUAGGGUUUCAACAUUGUAGUAGCCUCCAAACUUCAAACUUGAAACNUAAGUUCUCCCUGGAUAGGUAGAUAAAGAAUUAGGUCAGUAGCUCAUAGAAUAAUCAGAACACAAAUCUAAGACAAAAGACAGGUGACAAACUACAAGCUAACUGCAUUCAAAAAAACUACAAGUUAACUAGAAAUCAAAUUCAAGGCUAAUUCAAGUAAAUGUCCAUUUCUUAAUACUGAUAGCAUUUUAUGGUUUAUACUACGUGGAUGUUGGAACUGUGGUGCCACAAACUUAAGUUCUACUUAGUCGUUUCCUCAAACCACAUAGGCCAAAGCACAUCUGAUAUUAUCAUAGAAAAUGUUUUUUGCAGUUCAAUCCAAGUAAAGCCUCCCAUUUUACAGGUUUAAUGGAGGUGUUAUGGAAAUAAAUAUUGACUGUAUGGGGCAAAGGAUUUAGCUCUUAUUAACUUUGCAAAGCUCCCAAAGAAUUUCGACUAAUUGACUAUAGAACUGUAGUAAUAGCUGAAUGUAAGAUGGUACAAUAGUAUCAAUCUAAAAGAGCUAAUAAAAAAUUGGGAAUGAGGAUAUAUUGAUGAACUUAUUUCAUAACUAAAGAUUCAAAUGAUAAACAUUGGCAAAAAAAGGUCACUUGUGCAAUAUUUGCCUCCAAAACCAAACAGGUCAAUAUAGCAACCUACUGCACACAGACAACCAAACUCAGAUCAUCUAGAGGACAACUAAGACCUGUUGAGAGAAACUGGAUGUGAGCCAGGAAAAUGCUGAGGUCCUCUAACCUGCAGAUAAACAAACACAAUUUCUAUCAGCAACAUUUGUAGCAUAUACUACAUAUAAAAAUGUGAUACUCCAGGAGAACAUACCCCUCCAGGCAACUUCAUAGUCUGUAAGACAAACUGCCGCAUCACUACUUCUUGGUCACUAGGAAUUUUAUCUCCCAGAAGGUCAUCAUUUGUUCAGUGUUGUCCGUGUCGUCAUUAGUCUCCUAUAUAUUACAUGUUCAAGGUUAGAUGGAGAAGACACUGAUGAGUAAGACACAGAAACUAGAGGCACUAAAACUUUACAUACAACAAUUAGUUUAGUAUUUUAGAUGAAGAUACAUAUAUAUAUAUAUAUAUAUAUAUACAAAUAUACAGGUACACACGCACAUACAUCUGGAGGAGCGGUAGAAUCUCCAUCAUCGUCAUCAUCAUCCGGCACUGCAUCACCAUUCAGAUCCAGUUCAGAAGAUCUUUUCCACUCUGGGGUUGUAGGGCAAACAACCAUCUCUGGUUUUUUCUCAUGAUAAAAACUAUACAAGGCAUCAAUGUAGUCUGGUUUGUAAAUCCCCGGUGGACGUGCAUCAGAAAAUAUCUUGAUUGCCUGCAAAAAAAAAAGUAACAAAGUUGAAACAAUAGUCACAAUACACAUAUGACAUAUCCAGCUUCAAGAAAUUGAACAAAUCAACAACCAUCUCACCUGAGUCACGGACAUAGGCAUUGUACGCAUGAGAUAAUGGGCAAUCAUAUAUCCUGUACGAUUAUGCCCAUGUGUGCAGUGAACAAGAAUAUGCUUUUUCGGUUGCCUUUGCCGAGCCAGAAAUUGUUGGACCUAAUAAAAACAUGUGUGCAACUUAAAACUUCUAUAUCUUCAAAGCUAAUAAAAUAAAAUUCUACUUAAAAGAGAAACUAAUAAUAGGAAAAUAUAGAUACUUCAACCUACACAUGUUAUAUGCAUAAAUAAAAAAGAAAGUUAUAUUAAGCAGAUAGCAAAGCAAGUGUUUUUAGCUAACUGCAAAGAGAGAUUAAAGUAGACCUUCCCUCAAAUCACUUACCAUGUUGACUAGUAAGGCAAUUCCCAUAACGAAUCUGAACUAUGUUAUGUUUCAACCACUAUUUAUGAAUAUCUCACAUAGAAAAAAUAACUAGAAUAGGAAUGCAUGGUCAGAAGACUCGGACAGUAAACAUGUUCUGUGAUCCUGAUGAGCCACUUCAACUUAACAGAUCCAAUUUGUAAUGGGGCUCUAAGUAGACAGCAGACAUUAAUAGUUUUCAAAGCGUGUAAAAGCCCAAGGCUAUGAAUCAGUGUUGUCAAAUUUCCGCCAUGGCGGCGCCAUGGCGGAUGGCGGUGGCGGUUUUGGGCUAGGACGCCAUAAAAAUGUUAUGGCAUGGCAGUUUUGCCAUGGCGGGUUAUGGCGGCCGCCAUAUCCAUGGCGCCAUGGCGGCCAUGGCGGGAUAUGGCGGAAAUUUGGCCCAUACCCGCUUUACAGGCGGGUCGACCCGUUGACCCGACCCUUUGACCCUUUGACUUAGUUAUAUUAGGUUUAAAAAUUAGGGUUUCAACAUUGUAGUAGCCUCCAAUGUUCAAACUUCAAACUUGAAACUGCUCAGCGGCGCCUCCUCUGAUUCUCGGACCGGCGACCACUGCUCCGGCGACGCACCGGCGACCCACUGCUCCGGCGAGCUCCGGCGAUCUCCGGCGACCUCAGGUAGGUCCAUUUUUUUUGGUUUUUUUUAGUUAUUUUUCGUUUUUUAGUUGUUUUUUUAAUUUUUAUAGCAGUUUAUUUCAUUUAAACACUAGAUUAUUUUGAUUAUUUCAUAUUUUCUGAAAUUUUUCAGUUUAAGAUUAUGAUUACAAAUUUAGUUGUCAUUUUUUCUUAUUUGUAAUCUGAAGGAGAAGAGGAAGAAGGGUUUGCUCCUUUGGAUGAUGAUGAAGAUGAUGACUACGUGGAUGUUGAUGAGGAGGACUAGCAUUAUUAUCUAUCUAUCUAUUUCUUAUGUCUUAUGCUUGAAGUUGAAGACUUGAACUUAUUAUUGCAUUUUGUUAUGUUUAAACUUUGAACUUAGGAAUAUGUCAUGUUUAAACUUAGGAUAUCAAGUUUUCUAUGAUUUUUCUUGGAUUUUGCAUGUUUUAAUUUCAUAAUUUGCAUAUAUAUAAGUAUAUAUAUUAUUAUUUUAUUAAUCCGCCAUGCGUCCGCCAUAACCCGCCAUGGCACCCGCCAUAUCCUUAUGGCGGUUUUCAGGCCGGACCGCCAUGGACCGCCAUCCGCCAUCGAUAACAUUGCU
Molecule: long non-coding RNA, 3287 nt
Filed under: Salvia miltiorrhiza (redroot sage)
Lineage: Eukaryota; Viridiplantae; Streptophyta; Magnoliopsida; Lamiales; Lamiaceae
Description: long non-coding RNA (SMIL_LNC006629)
Source: RNAcentral